CCUGCGAACUCUCGCUUUGCUUAGCUAUCGCGAGAUGUAGGCGGCCUCAGCCUCGUCUCUGGGUUCUGAUCUUUUGGUGCACCUAGGGAAGCGACGCUGGGAGCCGCGAGAGGCUAUCCUGGGUACGGGGGCCGCAUUAUUUGGCUCAAAAUGUCAAAACAGUUCUAACAGGCUUUCCUAAUCCAAGCAAAACAAGUAAAAAAAAAAUAUCUCAAGCAAAUCAAUGAUGGUGACCAGAGAAGAGUUAGGGAAGAUAGCAUAUCCAGAGACUCAGAGAAAUAUGCUGAAAUGGUCACCAUUCACUGGUUGUCACAGAAAUGACAAUGAUUACAAGGUAGGAAGGAUGUUGAACACCAGACAAGGAAGAUGAGGUCUCAGUGCAACAGGUGACCCUCUAAUAACUCACAAAGUAGUCUGUAC
This 420-nucleotide long non-coding RNA is filed under the name Ictidomys tridecemlineatus (thirteen-lined ground squirrel). Its description in RNAcentral is "lncRNA (ENSSTOG00000034015.1)". Lineage: Eukaryota; Metazoa; Chordata; Mammalia; Rodentia; Sciuridae. The record is from RNAcentral.